CCUACGGGAGGCAGCAGUGAGGAAUAUUGGUCAAUGGGCGGAAGCCUGAACCAGCCAAGUAGCGUGCGGGAUGAAGGCCCUACGGGUCGUAAACCGCUUUUGCACGGGGAUAACACCCUCCACGUGUGGUGGUCUGCAGGUACCGCUCGAAUAAGGGCCGGCUAAUUCCGUGCCAGCAGCCGCGGUAAUACGGAAGGCCCGAGCGUUAUCCGGAUUUAUUGGGUUUAAAGGGAGCGUAGGCGGGCGUUCAAGUGUGCUGUAAAAUCGCGCGGCUCAACCGCGCCCCUCAGUGGAAACUGGACGCCUUGAGUGCACAACAGGCAGGCGGAAUUCGUGGUGUAGCGGUGAAAUGCAUAGAUAUCACGAGGAACCCCGAUUGCGAAGGCAGCCUGCCGGGGUGCGACUGACGCUGAGGCUCGAAGGUGCGGGUAUCAAACAGGAUUAGAUACCCUUGUAGUC
RNAcentral lists this ribosomal RNA (459 nucleotides) under uncultured bacterium. Its description in RNAcentral is "partial 16S ribosomal RNA". It matches the Rfam family "Bacterial small subunit ribosomal RNA", at positions 338 to 795 of the family's 1533-position model. The record is from RNAcentral.